Carassius carassius (crucian carp) is the source of this 257-nucleotide long non-coding RNA. RefSeq lists it as uncharacterized. The record is from RefSeq and is a predicted model, not a curated record. The transcript is spliced from 3 exons. Lineage: Eukaryota; Metazoa; Chordata; Actinopteri; Cypriniformes; Cyprinidae.
GACACAAGAAAUUGUUGAAUCGUUAUUCACCAAAUUGUCUUAGAUUCAAAAUACAUUUAAAUAUUUCCGCACACUAUUUCCAUGUGAAUGCAAUCAUUUCUCAUCCAACUCUUAGCCUUACUAUGUCAACAACUGUUUUAUCUGCCUCACUUAAAUUUAAGGAGGAGCAUCUGAGAGAAAGUUGAUAUUUACUGCUGUGAAAGAGCAACCGCAAGCAAGAGCAAGCAGUGGUCAUUUAUCAGCAUGAAACUGACAUG